Molecule: ribosomal RNA, 256 nt
Filed under: uncultured bacterium
Lineage: Bacteria
Description: partial 16S ribosomal RNA
Rfam family: Bacterial small subunit ribosomal RNA
Source: RNAcentral
UAAUACGUAGGGGGCGAGAGUUGUCCGGAUUUACUGGGUGUAAAGGGUGCUCAGGUGGAUUUGUAAGUCAGAGGUGAAAUCCCAAAGCUCAACUUUGGAGCUGCCUUUGAUACUGCAAGUCUUGAGUUUGGAAGAGGGUAAUGGAAUAUCUGGUGUAGCAGUGAAAUGCGUAGAUAUCAGAUAGAACACCAAUGGCGAAGGCAGUUACCUGGUCCAAAACUGACACUAAAGCACGAAAGUGUGGGGAGCAAACAGG